GAUGAACGCUGGCGGCGUGCCUAAUACAUGCAAGUCGAACGCAUAGCGAAAGGUGCUUGCACCUUUCAAGUGAGUGGCGAACGGGUGAGUAACACGUGGACAACCUGCCUCAAGGCUGGGGAUAACAUUUGGAAACAGAUGCUAAUACCGAAUAAAACUUAGUGUCGCAUGACACAAAGUUAAAAGGCGCUUCGGCGUCACCUAGAGAUGGAUCCGCGGUGCAUUAGUUAGUUGGUGGGGUAAAGGCCUACCAAGACAAUGAUGCAUAGCCGAGUUGAGAGACUGAUCGGCCACAUUGGGACUCAGACACGGCCCAAACUCCUACGGGAGGCUGCAGUAGGGAAUCUUCCACAAUGGGCGAAAGCCUGAUGGAGCAACGCCGCGUGUGUGAUGAAGGCUUUCGGGUCGUAAAGCACUGUUGUAUGGGAAGAACAGCUAGAAUAGGAAAUGAUUUUAGUUUGACGGUACCAUACCAGAAAGGGACGGCUAAAUACGUG
This 497-nucleotide ribosomal RNA is filed under the name uncultured bacterium. RNAcentral describes it as "partial 16S ribosomal RNA". It matches the Rfam family "Bacterial small subunit ribosomal RNA", at positions 28 to 507 of the family's 1533-position model. The record is from RNAcentral.